RNAcentral lists this ribosomal RNA (253 nucleotides) under uncultured bacterium. Its description in RNAcentral is "partial 16S ribosomal RNA". It matches the Rfam family "Bacterial small subunit ribosomal RNA", at positions 524 to 776 of the family's 1533-position model. The record is from RNAcentral.
UACGUAGGGUGCGAGCGUUGUCCGGAAUUAUUGGGCGUAAAGAGCUUGUAGGCGGUCUGUCGCGUCUGCUGUGAAAAUCCGGGGCUCAACCCCGGACUUGCAGUGGGUACGGGCAGACUAGAGUGUGGUAGGGGAGACUGGAAUUCCUGGUGUAGCGGUGAAAUGCGCAGAUAUCAGGAGGAACACCGGUGGCGAAGGCGGCAUCCUGGACCAACACUGACACUGAGGAGCGAAAGCCAGGGGAGCAAACGGG